CCGUAGCGAGAGCGAGUCUGAAUAGGGCGUAUGAAGUCAGUUGUAUUCGACCCGAAACCGGGUGACCUACCCAUGUCCAGGUUGAAGUGGAGGUAAAACUCCAUGGAGGACCGAACCGACUCCCGUUGAAAUGGUAGCGGAUGAGGUGUGGGUAGCGGAGAAAUUCCAAUCGAACCCGGAGAUAGCUGGUUCUCUCCGAAAUAGUUUUAGGACUAGCCUCGUAUUAGAUUACCGGAGGUAAAGCACUGAAUGAGCUAGGGGCCGAGAGGUUACUGAACUCUAUCAAACUCAGAAUGCCGGAUAAUUGAUGUACGGGAGUCAGACAGUGUGAGAUAAGUUUCAUUGUCAAAAGGGAAACAGCCCAGACCCACAGCUAAGGUCCCAAAGUACGGUUAAGUGGAAAAGGAUGUGGGGUUGCACAGACAACCAGGAUGUUGGCUUAGAAGCAGCCACUCAUUAAAAGAGUGCGUAAUAGCUCACUGGUCGAGUGACCCUGCGCCGAAAAUUUAACGGGGCUAAAUCGUACACCGAAGCUUGGGAUGCAGUAAUGCAUGGUAGGAGAGCGUCGUAUAAGGGGUGAAGUCAGAGCGUAAGCGCUGGUGGACUUUAUACGAGUGAGAAUGCCGGAAUGAGUAGCGAGAAAUAUGUGAGAAUCAUAUUGGCCGAAAAUCUAAGGUUUUUGGAGGAAGGUUCGUCCGCUCCAAGUAAGCCGGGAGCUAAGGUGAGGCCGAAAGGCGUAGCCGAUGCACAUACGGUAGAUAUUCCGUAGCCGCCAAAAGAUUUAAGUAAGAGGACACCUUGAAAGGACUUGACCCGGGCGAUGGUUGCCCCGGGCGAAAGGGACCGAAAUUUAGUAGGGAAGCAAGUUUGGACGAGGGCGAGAAAAGUCUUAUGUAUAUCUUCGGCGCCCGUACCGCAAACCGACACAGGUAGAUAGGAAGAGAAUUCUAAGGCCAACGGGAGAAGGGUAGUUAAGGAACUCGGCAAAUUGACCCCGUAACUUAGGAAUAAGGGGUGCCACAGCGAUGUGGUCGCAGAGAAUAGGCCCAGGCAACUGUUUAUCAAAAACACAGGUCUCUGCCAAAUCGAAAGAUGAAGUAUAGGGGCUGACACCUGCCCGGUGCUGGAAGGUUAAGAGGAGAUGUGCAAGCAUUGAAUUGAAGCCCCAGUAAACGGCGGCCGUAACUAUAACGGUCCUAAGGUAGCGAAAUUCCUUGUCGGGUAAGUUCCGACCCGCACGAAUGGUGUAAUGAUCUGGGCACUGUCUCAAUUACCCGCCCGGCGAAAUUGUAGUACCGGUGAAGAUGCCGGUUACCCGCGACAAGACGGAAAGACCCCAUGGAGCUUUACUGUAGCUUAAUAUUGGGUUUCGAUAAUUUAUGUAUAGGAUAGGCGGGAGACUAGGAAACCGUGGCGCCAGCCACGGCGGAGUCGACGUUGGAAUACCGCUCUUAAGUUAUUGGAAUUCUAACCUGCGGCCAUGAAUCUGGCCGGGGGACAUUGUUAGGUGGGCAGUUUGACUGGGGCGGUCGCCUCCAAAAAGGUAACGGAGGCGCUCAAAGGUUGGCUCAGCAUGGUUGGAAACCAUGCCUUAGAGUGUAAACGUGUAAGCCAGC
RNAcentral lists this ribosomal RNA (1616 nucleotides) under Hominenteromicrobium mulieris. RNAcentral's name for it is "partial 23S ribosomal RNA". It matches the Rfam family "Bacterial large subunit ribosomal RNA", at positions 666 to 2368 of the family's 2925-position model. The record is from RNAcentral. Lineage: Bacteria; Bacillati; Bacillota; Clostridia; Eubacteriales; Oscillospiraceae.